CAACUGGAGAGAUCCAUCCGUUGUAUUACGAUUAUUUCGUCGUGAUUAUUAAAUAAAUCAUUGUAAAUAAGAAGAUUCUACCUAGUAAAAACAUAUAAAAGAUGACACAAGUUACGCGCAUGUUUUUACAUAACCUACAGCUUCGGAAUGAUAAUAUAGCCCUGCCUAACUAUGCAAGAACGAAACCCUACAAUGCUAGCAAGUCAAACUGCCUAUCGACCUACAGCCCUAGCCCUAGCCAUACCUACACAGAAAUUAUAUAAAUAGAUACAUAGGGCGGGAUACCUGCACCAUGAGACCUAAGGCAACAGGCGGAUAGUGGAAAGGAGAAGGUGUAGGAAGGAUUUUCUUACUGCCAAUCACACAGACUCAUGUGACCGUGGUUAGGCUAAAGGUGUCUUGGCCACAGUAAGAGGAUACUGAAAGUGACACAAAGAAAAUAAUAUAAGCAUGCACAGUGUGAUAAAACAAAAGUGACAUGGACAUACACAGUGAAAUUAAAGUGAAAUAAUAAUAAAUAAAACAAGCAGAAUAUGACAACUGUACUUAUUAUAAUAUGAAUUAAUAUUAGAAUGUUGAUGAUAA
RNAcentral lists this long non-coding RNA (585 nucleotides) under Pectinophora gossypiella (pink bollworm). RNAcentral's name for it is "uncharacterized LOC126372844". Lineage: Eukaryota; Metazoa; Arthropoda; Insecta; Lepidoptera; Gelechiidae. The record is from RNAcentral.